This 87-nucleotide transfer RNA is filed under the name Photobacterium sp. 1_MG-2023. Its description in RNAcentral is "tRNA-Leu". It matches the Rfam family "tRNA". Rfam says of the family: Transfer RNA (tRNA) molecules are approximately 80 nucleotides in length. Their secondary structure includes four short double-helical elements and three loops (D, anti-codon, and T loops). The record is from RNAcentral. Lineage: Bacteria; Pseudomonadati; Pseudomonadota; Gammaproteobacteria; Vibrionales; Vibrionaceae.
GCGGUGGUGGCGGAAUUGGUAUACGCGCUAGCUUCAGGUGCUAGUGUCCGCAAGGACGUGAGAGUUCAAGUCUCUCCCUCCGCACCA